Cinara cedri is the source of this 206-nucleotide non-coding RNA. Lineage: Eukaryota; Metazoa; Arthropoda; Insecta; Hemiptera; Aphididae. The record is from the annotation of a GenBank genome assembly.
GCAGUAAUAUUUGAAAUGUUGUUGACUACUCAACUUAUUAUAAUUAAAUUAAACGUUGAAUAAAGGAUUUUUUUAGAUUUUGAGAAUGUAUUUGUUUUACUAUAGAUGAUGUGCACGUGUAUUAGAUUCCGAGCGUAGCAAGCAAAUUGUCUAUUAGAAAUGUUCCUACAAUCGAAAAAGGUCGAGAGACUUUUUGUCGAAUUUCG